ACUCCUACGGGAGGCAGCAGUGGGGAAUAUUGCGCAAUGGGGGCAACCCUGACGCAGCCAUGCCGCGUGAAUGAAGAAGGCCUUCGGGUUGUAAAGUUCUUUCGGUGAUGAGGAAGGCAGAGAUUUUAAUAGGGUUUUUGUUUGACGUUAGUCACAGAAGAAGCACCGGCUAACUCCGUGCCAGCAGCCGCGGUAAUACGGAGGGUGCGAGCGUUAAUCGGAAUAACUGGGCGUAAAGGGCACGCAGGCGGAUAGAUAAGUGAGAUGUGAAAUCCCCGGGCUUAACCYGGGAACUGCAUUUCAUACUGUUUAUCUAGAGUAUUGUAGAGAGGGGUAGAAUUCCACGUGUAGCGGUGAAAUGCGUAGAGAUGUGGAGGAAUACCGGAGGCGAAGGCGGCCCCUUGGACAAAUACUGACGCUCAUGUGCGAAAGCGUGGGGAGCAAACAGGAUUAGAUACCCUGGUAGUCCACGCUGUAAACGAUGUCGAUUUGGGGGUUGGGCGAAUGCCUGGCUCUCGYAGCUAACGCGUUAAAUCGACCGCCUGGGGAGUACGGCCGCAAGGUUAAAACUCAAAUGAAUUGACGGGGGCCCGCACAAGCGGUGGAGCAUGUGGUUUAAUUCGAUGCAACGCGAAGAACCUUACCUACUCUUGACAUCCAGAGAAUCCUUUAGAGAUAGAGGAGUGCCUUCGGGAGCUCUGAGACAGGUGCUGCAUGGCUGUCGUCAGCUCGUGUUGUGAAAUGUUGGGUUAAGUCCCGCAACGAGCGCAACCCUUAUCCUUUGUUGCCAGCGCGUAAUGGCGGGAACUCAAAGGAGACUGCCGGUGACAAACCGGAGGA
This 840-nucleotide ribosomal RNA is filed under the name uncultured bacterium. RNAcentral's name for it is "bacterial SSU rRNA". It matches the Rfam family "Bacterial small subunit ribosomal RNA", at positions 335 to 1170 of the family's 1533-position model. The record is from RNAcentral.